Schistocerca serialis cubense is the source of this 73-nucleotide non-coding RNA. The record is from the annotation of a RefSeq genome assembly. Lineage: Eukaryota; Metazoa; Arthropoda; Insecta; Orthoptera; Acrididae.
UCCCGGAUGGCGCAGUGGUCACCGCAUCUGCCCAGUAAGCUGGAGAUCCCGGGUUCGAAUCCCGGUCUGGCAC